AGCGAACGCUGGCGGCAGGCCUAACACAUGCAAGUCGAACGAACCUUUCGGGGUUAGUGGCGGACGGGUGAGUAACACGUGGGAACGUGCCUUUAGGUUCGGAAUAACUCAGGGAAACGUGUGCUAAUACCGAAUGUGCCCUUCGGGGGAAAGAUUUAUCGCCUUUAGAGCGGCCCGCGUCUGAUUAGCUAGUUGGUUGAGGUAAUGGCUCACCAAGGCGACGAUCAGUAGCUGGUCUGAGAGGAUGAUCAGCCACAUUGGGACUGAGACACGGCCCAAACUCCUACGGGAGGCAGCAGUGGGGAAUAUUGCGCAAUGGGCGAAAGCCUGACGCAGCCAUGCCGCGUGAAUGAUGAAGGUCUUAGGAUUGUAAAAUUCUUUCACCGGGGACGAUAAUGACGGUACCCGGAGAAGAAGCCCCGGCUAACUUCGUG
Molecule: ribosomal RNA, 434 nt
Filed under: uncultured bacterium
Lineage: Bacteria
Description: partial 16S ribosomal RNA
Rfam family: Bacterial small subunit ribosomal RNA
Source: RNAcentral